GCCUGGGAGGAACCUGCUCAGUCUAGGCCUAAGGAAGCAGCAUUGGUGGUGCCUCAGCCAUGGCCUGGACCGUUCUUCUCCUCGGCCUCCUCGCUCACUGCACAGGCUCUGCGACCUCCUAUGAGCUGACUCAGCCACCCUCGGUGUCAGUGGCCCCAAGACAGACGGCCAGGAUUACCUGUGGGGGAAACAACAUCGGAAGUAAAAUUGUGCACUGGUACCAGCAGAAGCCAGGCCAGGCGCCUGUGCUGGUCAUCUAUGAUGAUAGCGACCGGCCCUCAGGGAUUCCUGACCGAUUCUCUGGCUCCAACUCAGGGAACACCGCCACCCUGACCAUCAGCAGGGUGGAAGCCGGGGAUGAAGCCGUCUAUUACUGUCAGGUGUGGGACAGUAGUAGUGAUUAUCCCACAGUGACACAGGCAGAUGAGGAAGUGAGACAAAAACACCCUCCCAGCCUCAGUGACCCUCUUGCUUCAGCCCCGGGAAGACUGUUGAUAAAGCCAUGAGUGGAUCUGGCCCGGUUCACCUGGAUCUGAGCCUUUCAGGCUGCCCUUCCCUCCAGCCCCCUCCAGGAGUCUCUACAGAGCAUACAUCAGACAUACACAUGGCCCGGAAGGGCCAGAAUCAUCUGGUGACUUGGGGCUGUUGUGUGAGUUAGAGAAUGAGGGCCUGGGUGGAAAGACAAACAGAGGCAACCUCUGUCCACUGUCCUGCCUCUGGAUGGUCAUAUGGUGGGGACAGGGCCAGUCCUUAAACCAACUGUCUGGAUCAGGCCCCAGAAUUACUGCCCAGUUCUGCUGAGGUCCUGGGCCUGAGGCUGUGUGGCAGCCUGUGAUUCCCAACAGAGCAAACCAGAGGAAUGGACACUGUGAACUCUGCCCAGAUCCCCUCCUCAAUGUGACCCAGCUGGCACUGCUGAGAAGCCCAGCAGCUCAGAGCUGUACCCUCACUGGGAAGUGCUGUUGGUUGCAGAAAGCUUCCUCAAGUUUAUGUCCCUUCUCAGAGGGGUUUAAUCAACCAAGAUCUCAAGUCCUUGCCUCAAUUUAAGAUGCCACUGAAUGAAGGGCCUCCCAGCUCCAGAGCUCCCUCUGUGGAGCCUGAGCCUCAAUGUCAACUCCAUCAUGAGUCAGGGUCUUCUUCUGCCCCGUGUUGCCUCCCUCACUCCCUUCUGAAUCUUCUGUGCAUGGACAUCUCUAUUGCAGAGUUGGCUUCCAGAGAACCCCAUCUAAGAUGGCCAGCUGUCCCCAAUAUGGGUCAUCAGGGACCUGAGGACGCCACUAUAAACUGAAAACUCUGGUUUCUGUCCAAAUUUUCAGAGUAAAUGUUGAAAUGCCCAAACUGAUGGUUCCUUGAAUUUUUAUGGAAUGAAAAGGGAGCCUGACAUGCCAGGUGCUCUGGGUUGAGGGAGCGUUGGAGUCAGAUCUCCCUGUAGGGAAGCCCGGGGCAGGGAGAGCAGCCUCACCCCUCCCAGGAACCACAGAUACACCCGCAGGGUGAGCUGCAGGAUGGACGCUGCCCACCUCCACCCUCCACAUCCUCUGUAAAUGUUGCUCCCUUCUACAACUCCAAUCAGAUAUGUAGAUGUGGUGAACUACGUAAAAUACGGAUCACUCAUCGCUUCAAAUCCCACUGCAGGACACCCUGGUCAACAAAGAACCCAAUCACAUCCCUAUCAACUACAUAGUUUCCAAAUUUUCCAUCUCCAGAAAAAUAACAACAAUAGACAUGAAAAUCGAUGUAAUUUAUCUCAUAAAUAAUUUCAUGUUGAUAACGUGAAAAUGAUAGCAUUUUGCUGUACUGAAAUAAAUAAAAUAUAUUUUAUAUA
Pongo pygmaeus (Bornean orangutan) is the source of this 1825-nucleotide non-coding RNA. Lineage: Eukaryota; Metazoa; Chordata; Mammalia; Primates; Hominidae. The record is from the annotation of a RefSeq genome assembly.